RNAcentral lists this ribosomal RNA (431 nucleotides) under Anomaloglossus surinamensis group sp. ABGD cluster 6. RNAcentral's name for it is "partial large subunit ribosomal RNA". It matches the Rfam family "Bacterial large subunit ribosomal RNA", at positions 1818 to 2461 of the family's 2925-position model. Lineage: Eukaryota; Metazoa; Chordata; Amphibia; Anura; Aromobatidae. The record is from RNAcentral.
GCCUCUUGACUUAACCAUAAGAGGUCCAGCCUGCCCAGUGACAUUGUUCAACGGCCGCGGUAUUCUAACCGUGCGAAGGUAGCGUAAUCACUUGUCCUUUAAAUGAGGACUAGUAUGAACGGCCACACGAAAGCUAUGCUGUCUCCUUUUUCUAAUCAGUUAAACUAAUCUCCCCGUGAAGAAGCGGGGAUGAUCAUAUAAGACGAGAAGACCCUAUGGAGCUUUAAACAAUUGAAACACUUGUAUCCAUCUUCCACACUUCCGACAGUCUACGCUUAAUUUUACACUUUGUUUCUAGCUUUAGGUUGGGGUGACCACGGAGAAAAAACAAACCUCCACGCUGAAAGAGUUAAUCUCUAAACAAAAAGCUACAUCUUUAAGUAUUAAUAUAUUAACCUGAAUUGACCCAAUAAAUUGAUCAACGAACCAAG